Molecule: ribosomal RNA, 250 nt
Filed under: uncultured bacterium
Lineage: Bacteria
Description: partial 16S ribosomal RNA
Rfam family: Bacterial small subunit ribosomal RNA
Source: RNAcentral
UGCGAAGCGAAGCAGUGAUGUGAAGCAAAUCGCACCAAAGCCGGUCCCAGUUCGGAUAAGAGGCUGAAACUCGCCUCUUUGAAGUCGGAAUCGCUAGUAAUCGCAGAUCAGCAUGGCGCGGUGAAUACGUUCCCGGGCCUUGUACACACCGCCCGUCAAGCCAUGGGAGCCGGGGGCGCCUGAAGUCCGGGACCGCGAGGACCGGCCUAGGGCGAAACUGGUAACUGGGGCUAAGUCGUAACAAGGUAAC